This 429-nucleotide ribosomal RNA is filed under the name Chloroflexota bacterium. Its description in RNAcentral is "Chloroflexi bacterium partial 16S ribosomal RNA". It matches the Rfam family "Bacterial small subunit ribosomal RNA", at positions 355 to 776 of the family's 1533-position model. Lineage: Bacteria; Bacillati; Chloroflexota. The record is from RNAcentral.
UGGGGAAUAUUGCACAAUGGGCGCAAGCCUGAUGCAGCCAUGCCGCGUGUAUGAAGAAGGCCUUCGGGUUGUAAAGUACUUUCAGCGGGGAGGAAGGUAGUAAAGUUAAUACCUUUGCUCAUUGACGUUACCCGCAGAAGAAGCACCGGCUAACUCCGUGCCAGCAGCCGCGGUAAUACGGAGGGUGCAAGCGUUAAUCGGAAUUACUGGGCGUAAAGCGCACGCAGUCGGUUUGUUAAGUCAGAUGUGAAAUCCCCGGGCUAAACCUGGGAACUGCAUCGGAUACUGGCAAGCUUGAGUCUCGUAGAGGGGGGUAGAAUUCCAGGUGUAGCGGUGAAAUGCGUAGAGAUAUGAAGGAAUACCGGUGGCGAAGGCGACACCCUGGACGAAGACUGACGCUCAGGUGCGAAAGCGUGGGGAGCAAACAGG